This 236-nucleotide unclassified non-coding RNA is filed under the name Hevea brasiliensis (rubber tree). The record is from RNAcentral. Lineage: Eukaryota; Viridiplantae; Streptophyta; Magnoliopsida; Malpighiales; Euphorbiaceae.
GUAAUGAAGGAGAAGGAGGAGGAGCUAGGUUUGUUUCUCGAAAUGCGAAGAAGGGAGAAGGAGAGAAAUGAUCUUCUACUUUUCCAAAACGGCGAUGAAUUUGAUGCUCCGCUUGAAUCAAGAGCAGGAAGUUCGCCUAUAUUCAAUAUUGGAUCAACCACUAAUGUGAGGAAGAAUGGUACUGAUGAUUUCCUCAAUGCUGACAAUGACAAAAAUGAUUAUGAGUGGCUUCUAAC